GAUGAACGCUGGCGGCGUGCUUAACACAUGCAAGUCGAACGGAAAGGCCCAAGCUUGCUUGGGUACUCGAGUGGCGAACGGGUGAGUAACACGUGGGUGAUCUGCCCUGCACUUCGGGAUAAGCCUGGGAAACUGGGUCUAAUACCGGAUAGGACGAUGGUUUGGAUGCCAUUGUGGAAAGUUUUUUCGGUGUGGGAUGAGCUCGCGGCCUAUCAGCUUGUUGGUGGGGUAAUGGCCUACCAAGGCGUCGACGGGUAGCCGGCCUGAGAGGGUGUACGGACACAUUGGGACUGAGAUACGGCCCAGACUCCUACGGGGGGCAGAAGUGGGGAAUAUUGCACAAUGGGCGCAAGCCUGAUGCAGCGACGCCGCGUGGGGGAUGACGGCCUUCGGGUUGUAAACUCCUUUCGCUAGGGACGAAGCGUUUUUGUGACGGUACCUGGAGAAGAAGCACCGGCUAACUACGUG
Molecule: ribosomal RNA, 468 nt
Filed under: uncultured bacterium
Lineage: Bacteria
Description: partial 16S ribosomal RNA
Rfam family: Bacterial small subunit ribosomal RNA
Source: RNAcentral